AUUGAACGCUGGCGGCAGGCUUAACACAUGCAAGUCGAGCGAGCGGCGGACGGGUGAGUAAUGUAUGGGGAUCUGCCUGAUGGAGGGGGAUAACUACUGGAAACGGUAGCUAAUACCGCAUACCAUCAGAUGACCCCAUAUGGGAUUAGCUUGUAGGUGAGGUAACGGCUCACCUAGGCGACGAUCCCUAGCUGGUCUGAGAGGAUGAUCAGCCACACUGGAACUGAGACACGGCCCAGACUCCUACGGGAGGCAGCAGUGGGGAAUAUUGCACAAUGGGCGCAAGCCUGAUGCAGCCAUGCCGCGUGUGUGAAGAAGGCCUUCGGGUUGUAAAGUACUUUCAGCCGGGAGGCGUUACCCACAGAAGAAGCACCGGCUAACUCCGUGCCAGCAGCCGCGGUAAUAC
Molecule: ribosomal RNA, 406 nt
Filed under: uncultured bacterium
Lineage: Bacteria
Description: partial 16S ribosomal RNA
Rfam family: Bacterial small subunit ribosomal RNA
Source: RNAcentral